Mya arenaria is the source of this 3655-nucleotide long non-coding RNA. RefSeq lists it as uncharacterized. The record is from RefSeq and is a predicted model, not a curated record. The transcript is spliced from 5 exons. NCBI's taxonomy places the organism in Eukaryota, Metazoa, Mollusca, Bivalvia, Myida, Myidae.
AAAAAACAAAAUCAUUUUUGCCAAGUAAUCGAGUACCCGAGUACUCGAUCGAAAGAUUGACCGAGUACUCGAGUACCAAUUUUACUACUUGUUGCCAUCCCUAAUUUAAUCACACAACGUAAACAACUGAGCCACAGAUCUUAUCUGUAUGUUUUGGGUUUUUUAAAAUUCAGCAGUUAAAUAAAAAUUAGCAUACUGGUAGGUCUGGUGCUUUAGUUGCUAAGUAUGAGGUAAACAUAAUGUCAGUGAUUUCAUCACUAUUACUAUUAAAACAUCAGUUUUCUUCUUCAAAGCUUCUCACGUUUGCACCAUUUUUUACCAUUUAUCAUAACGUUGGGAAACAAUUUCAAUCAAAACUGAAUCACAAAAAGAUAACAAACCAACACUGAUGGAACAUUUGAAAAUACAAUAGAUUUCAGUUGGUUUCUAUUUUUUUGUUAAGUUUUGCUUGAAAUUAUUCUGCUUGAAUGUGAUUAUUGUUGCUUAAAUUAGAACUUAACACUUCAUGAAUAUUUCUGGAAUGCAGGGGUCAGAUUUCAGAUUGCUCAUUAUUUCUGGAACACUAAAUACUGUAUUUGAUUGAGUACACUGCACUUUCUUGUUUACCAUUCAUCCAAAUCAUUUGGGUAAAUAUUGGCAGAAAAACUGCUUUUGGAUUAAUACUGGUCAUCAUAACCGGCACUGACAAAACAUAAGACGUGUUUAUUGAAUGUGCGGGAAAGAGGUAUAAAGGUGUCCGCCCACAACGAAAUGCUUCCGGGUCGCAGUACCCCUUCAAGUAGUUCUUGAAAAAAAAUGUUUCUCUCAGGUAGCAUUUGAUUAUGUGUACAUUGUAUUCUUGUAUGUAUUUUCAAGUUUACACAUGAUUUAUAUCUUAUUUAAUACAGUGAUGUGGUUUUGAAUGAUAUUUUGCCGGACGUCUUUCUUGUGUGGAUGGAUUCAGAGAUGACCCCAGAAAUGCGGUCAUGACUGUGGCACAUGUAUGUUAUAGAUAGUGACUGUAAAGAAAUGUUUAUAGCAGAAAGAUGAAACUAUCUUUAUAUGGUUUUCUGGUGUUAAAUUAACUGACAGUGUUCAUAAUUUGUCGGAAAAUAGUGUCAAAGCUGAAAUCUAUUCUGCAAAUUCAAAAUAAAGUGGUGAACUGGAGUGAUUUUACAUAUAUAUAUAUAAAAAGGACAAUUUUGUUGUGGACCGUGACUUAGAAGUGAAAACCAGAUUUUGGAAUAACUCAGCUUAUAUGCAGUGUACAGUAAUGAAAUUUCACACAAAAGUUCCUGAGGGUAUCUAUAUAAAGGCACCUAGUUUCUGAAAGGUUUUUACCAAGGUUUGAAUAUUUUUAGUUUUAUUUAAAUUUUAAAAUUUUGACAUUUCUUUUAAAGAUUUGCCUGCCCCUGUCUGAACACUUAAGUUCGUGGUCUUUGGACUAUUGUCUGCAACUUCAAAACCUGACUUUUUGGAACAGGACAUAUUUGUCUGAUAUUUUAUCCAGUUUGACUGCAAAUGGAAUUAUUUCCAUAUAAUACCUGGUAGUUAUAAAAAUUUGUUAAUUGGUUUUAAUUCAUGGAUAGGUUUAUUGAAGAGUGUCAUGGAAAGCUGAAACUUUUCAGUACACAACAUGGAAACUUUGAAUGAACUGUGUGUUCCGGCUUUGUGAACAAAAACACAAGGCGGCUAUGGUAAGUUGCAUCAAGAUAUCCUUGGGACCCCCCCCCCCCCCUCGGACACACAAUGCAAUUCGUUUUUUGCUGACAUCCAUUUGGGAAUUUGCAUAUGUUACCCUAGUCUAAGAUAAUAGACGUGUUAUACGGGAUUCUUCCAAUCCCUAACGAAGGAUUUGCCAUAUCAAAAAUCGUAAAAAAAUCCGUCAACGUACAAUUAUUUGGACUAAUGUUACCCCAGCCAACAGGCUGAAUGUUUAAUUGUACUCAGUACUAGGCUUUGUUUUAGUGCGAACAUCAACAUGUUUUUCUAAUUGCAGUUGCUGCUUGGGACAAUAAAGUUAAGUCAGCAACCAUCUAUCAGACUGCAAGAUUCAUCUCUUCCAAAGGAUGUCAUACCUUUCCAGAUACACUGUGUUGUGUGUGGAUAAGAAAUGCAGAGUGGUACCACCAGUCACCUAAGCCACCAUUCCUCUAACAGACAAAAGGCUCAUGGGGACAGUCCCUGCAGUUUACAGCAAAGCUCUCAAUUGUAGCCCUACAAACUUCAGAUACUGCCGAGGGCGUAGCUUGGGUGCACGGGGCCGGUUUUCCAGCCGUGUGGAUUCAACAUCUCCAGCUGAACUGGGGCCAGGAAUUAUAUAAGACUCCUCAGCAGCACGAGUGCCAGCCAGUCGUUGCCAUUCUUCACAUUGUUUAGGAGGACAGUCCUGCCAACAUAACAGUUUGUUCAAUAACAGGUAAAGAACGGAUCGAUGAUUUCCUGGAUAUGGACAAGACCCACUCCCUGCAGGGAUUAAGCAGAAAAGAGCAGUAUUGAAAAACAAGAACAAAACUUUUUAAUGAAAACAAAACUCUUUCGUUAGAAAGCACAGAAGUGAAAAAGCAGCAAUUACGAUACACUGAAGUGAUUGGAGUUUCACCAUGAUAAGAUACGGUCGGGUUUGCAGGUGGUCUGCAAAAGUGCAAAAAAAUUGUGACGCAAACCAAAAUACUUGGACUAAAGUUUUUAGGAUACUGUCUUUGAACUUUAAACAUAUGUUCGCAUGAAGUGAAGAUGUAUUUGACAUAUAUAUGAUAUGGAUCAGUCAAAUAUUUGUUAGAGGGGGAAAGGAUUUGUAAAAAUUUCAAGAUGCAAACAAAUAAUCAUUCUCAAGACAAUAAUGAAUUAUAAAUAUUGAAAAGAUACAUACUGUGGACGAACUUUUUAUACAUACUUAUUCACAUUAUUUAAGAAAAUUUGGACUCAGUUUGAUCUGUACCUAGCAAGCUAUAAUAUGCAAAUAAAGUAACUUUAUUAUUCAUAUAAAUUUAGUCUGAUGCCUUGAUUAACAGGUGUGAAAUAAAUAUCACAACAGCUACCUAUUUGUUUGACUGACCACUGUGCACACACUGUGAUAUAUAGCCAUAGGUAUUAAAGUGACCAUUAAAGCUGCACUCUCACAAAUUGACAGUUUUGACCUUUUUUAUUUUUUUGUCUUAGAAUCUAUAUAAUCAUAUAAUGAUAACACAACUUAGGUCUUUCCAGGAUUAGUGUGUCACUUUGUAUGUAAAUACACUGUACACAUGCAAGUAUAAAACUGACAUGAAAUUUUGGAUAUUUGCUCAGUAACCACAACAUUAUGUCAUUCUUGUUGUAUUCAUCAAAAGCUAAUGUAGCUUCAAAAUUUGUGUACAAUUUCCACCAUUCUGCCAACUGCAUGCUGCAUUGUUGCUAGAGUUACAGUGAAUUUUUCAUAAAAAUUGAGAUUGAGUUUUAAAGAGACAAUACAUAAAUCAGUCAACAAUUCAUUAAAUGGAGAUUUUUUGCAUUGAUGAGAUAUUGUUGCACCCAGAUCUAGAAUAUUGGAGCCUUAGGCCAUAAUAAAACAAAAACCUUGUCAUAUGUACACAACCACCAUUCAUUAUAAUUAUUUUAAGAGAUUUGGUAACAUGAGUGCUUAAUUAUAACAUUGUGUCAAAGUUUGUGAAUGUUUGUUCUUUGAAUGUUCAGUAAA